AGCGAACGCUGGCGGCGUGCCUAACACAUGCAAGUCGAACGUGAAAGGGAGCAAUCCUGAGUAAAGUGGCUACGGGUGAGUAACACGUGGGCAAUCUACCUGAGAGUCUGGAAUAACCGGCCGAAAGGCUGGCUAAUACUGGAUAGAGCGAUGGAAUCCGUAAUUGGGUUUCUCGGGAAAGGGAGGUCGUAAGAUCCCUUGCUCUCAGAUGGGCCUGCGUCCCAUCAGCUAGUUGGUAAGGUAAUGGCUUACCAAGGCUAUGACGGGUAGCUGGUCUGAGAGGAUGAUCAGCCACACUGGAACUGAAACACGGUCCAGACUCCUACGGGAGGCAGCAGUGGGGAAUCUUGCGCAAUGGACGAAAGUCUGACGCAGCCACGCCGCGUGAGUGAAGAAGGCCUUCGGGUUGUAAAGCUCUGUCGAGAGGGAAGAAUGGCUAGUGGGUUAACAGCCCAUUGGAUUGACGGUACCUCUAAAGGAAGCACCGGCUAACUCUGUGCCAGCCGCCGCCGUAA
This 515-nucleotide ribosomal RNA is filed under the name uncultured bacterium. RNAcentral's name for it is "partial 16S ribosomal RNA". It matches the Rfam family "Bacterial small subunit ribosomal RNA", at positions 29 to 523 of the family's 1533-position model. The record is from RNAcentral.